UUUUUUCUUUUUUUUUUAAUAAAAAUAAAAAAAAUACAAGAAAAAAAAUAAAAGAAAUUAUUUACAAAAAUUAAUUCUAUGAAUUAAAAGUACUUACCUCCCCGGCAACGGCGCCAAAAACUUGUUGUGCAAAUUUUAAUGUAUUCACAAGCGCACAAAUCUAUUGUAGUAUAGACUAAUGGUGACGAGUGUUGAUCCCACGAGGAGGUGGAUUUUAAUUGUGAAGAAUUAAUUUUGUAAGUGGGUGAUUGGAUUUGUGGUGGAAAUGAUUUGGGAUAUGCUAAAACUUAAAUUAAAAUGGCGAGAAUAAAUUCUAAAAUUGGAAUUGAAAUGGCGAGAAUAAAUUGAAGAGAAUUCUAUUAAAAUAACGUACUUGGGUAUCUGGAUCCGUAUCAACAUGCAUCAUGGGCUAAAUAAUCCGUAUUAAUGCCAAUUAAAUCAUAAGGGUGGAAUCCACACCUCAUGAACCACGCUCUAAUCAAUAUGGUGCUAAGGGCUUAUCGUGCCAAAUAAUAAUAACCUUGUACUAGAGGGCCGGUGAAACCAAGGCGGUACUAGACAAGAAUAUUAUUAUUUGUCGACGAGAAGUCAAAACAUCCACAAAAACUAGAGGGGAAGAGAAAAUAAAUUUACCAAAUUAAGCCCAUGACACAUGUUGAUACGGAUCCAGAUACCCAAGCUUGAAAGAAAAUUAGCUACUCAUAAUUGAACUAGGGGCAAAAUGGAAAUUUAUUAAAAUAUGAAGAAAAUACAAGAUAGAGAAGGAAUUACAGAAAAUGGAUCCCAAAAAUGGAUUCAGAGAUAUCAAAUUAGGGGGGAGAGGCCCCCUUUUCAUAGAUACAUGGAGUAAAUCAUGGCCAUCGGAUUAAAAACAGUUUGGACGCUCAGGAUUGCGCCACGUCAUCAGUCAACAAUCCACGGUUUGACCACGCGGAUGAACAGUAACACGGUUUGACCACGCGGAUGAACAGUAACACGGUUUGACCCAACUUUGAAUAACGCGUAAAGCACGUGGCUCGCAAGUUAAAAAGAAAACAGUAAAAAGGAAAAAGCAAACAGUAAUAAGAAAAAAGCAAACAGUAAUAAAAUUAUUAGGGACAAUAAUACACACAAUAAAACAAUAGUGAAAUAAAAUAACAGUAAAGUGAAAGGAUAUUUACAGGUAGUUGCGACUGUGGCUCACAUCUUCCUCUGGUUUUACGUCCAGAAACGGCUUGAACGCCCUCUAUGGGUCGAGGAUAGGCUUCCUAUCCAGUUUUCUUAUAAACUGGCAAACAGGGUCGUUUAUUGUCAGAUUCCCGAGACUAUAUCGUGCAUGCUCUUUCUGGAAUAAUGGCCAUAACUGGAGAAUCGCUCCUUGCACAUAUCCACUGGGAUGCGUUUCAAGAGACAAAAGGAUAUCAUCCAAUGACUCCUUAUUCAAGCCAUCCCUAAUGAAUUGAAUCUUAUCUUCCCUGUUAUCAGACAUCAUUCCUAAAGAACAUGGGUUUUUAUUGCAACUCAUUCUGGCACACUUAUGACAAGCAACAUAAAUUCUUCGAGCUCGUCGUUUUCUUGCAUAAUUUCCUUUACCACAACCAGGCAUGUAUGCAAUAAAUUUUGGAGGUAACUCACCUGCCGAUCGUACUUUAGCCUCGAUUAACCAACGGAUGUCAGCAGGUAUGUUAUUCCUCAUGAGUAAUCGCAUGUGUUCGGACCGAGCUUUAUAGAUCGUAAGGAGGGCAUUCUGAGGAAGUGAAGGGAAUCGCUUGUGAAGCUUCGCUAGAAUCUCGUUUAUGUCCAUACCUUCGCCUCAGAAUAUCAGUUAUUAUGGGAAACUGAAGUAACCGACUUGAUUGUCACGGAGUACCGUUAUCCGCCACUUCACCGGGGUAACAAACUAAAGCACACAAACAGAAAAACAAAUUAAAACACACAAAGAAAAUUAAAAUCGUCCUCUUAUUGAAUUUACCUCAAGCUCCAACUGGAUGUCGUAAACACUUCUCUCAAUGUCUCUGAGUUGGCGUUCUAAACCCUCAACAUAGGCUACUAACUCUGGUGGUUGUAGAGCCCAAAUGCGUUGUGUUUUACAAAAUUGAAUCUGCCUUUUGAGAUGAGUUUUGACUCGUUGAAGUGGUUUAAGAAUGUUCAGGAGGAACGGUCUAAGUAUGAGAUUCAUGAUUAAAAAUUAUAAGAGAAAACUUAAUGGUAAAAUAAACACACUUAUGCAAAAACAAUUUCAAUUAGCAAAAGAAUAAUAAUAAAAAGAAAGAAAGAAAAAUCAAAUCAACGAAAAGAAAAAAAAAUCAAUUCAAAUUUGGUGGGUCACUCAAAUUUAUUUCGGUGUCUUCGUCAUGUGGUUGGUACUCUAGAUAUGGCUUUAAUCUUUGACCAUUAACUUUAAACGUGACACCGUUCUUUGGGUCCUUAAUUUCAAUUGCCCCAUGUGGAAAAACAGUAUGAACAAUAAAGGGACCAGACCAACGAGAGCGUAACUUACCUGGGAAUAGGUGCAAGCGAGAAUUGAAUAAAAGCACUUUCUGACCUGGAGUGAAAGAUUUUCUCAUAAUUUGCUUGUCAUGGAAGACUUUCAUUCGUUGCUUGUAAAUCUUGGCAUUUUCGUACGCGUCAUUGCGAAUUUCUUCAAGUUCUGCCAGCUGUAAUCUUCUUUCUGAGCUGGCGUGCUGCAUGUCAAAAUUGAAUUUCUUGAUGGCCCAAUAUGCACGAUGCUCGAGUUCCACAGGUAGGUGGCAAGCUUUUCCAUACACUAGCCUGUAGGGUGACAUCCCAAUCGGGGUCUUGAAAGCCGUUCUAUAUGCCCACAAGGCAUCAUCAAGUCUUAAUGACCAAUCUUUUCUAUCUGGCCUCACCAUCUUUUCUAAUAUGUGCUUUAUUUCUCGAUUGGAGAUCUCAACUUGGCCACUGGUUUGCGGAUGAUACGGAGUCGCCACUUUGUGUGUGAUUGAAUACUUUGUCAAAAGAGCUUUGAAUGCUUUGUUACAAAAGUGGGCACCACCAUCACUGAUUAUUGCUCGAGGGAAUCCAAAGCGCGAGACAAUGUUGCUUUUCAAAAAUCCUAUCACCACCUUGUGAUCAUUAGUUCUGCAUGGAAUUGCUUCUACCCAUUUGGAUACGUAGUCAACAGCAACCAAUAUGUAUUGAUGGCCAAAAGAAGGGGGAAAGGGUCCCAUGAAGUCAAUAUCCCAUACGUCAAAAAUCUCAACCACUAAAAUUGGAUUUAGUGGCAUCAUGUUCCUUCGUGUAAUGCUUCCCAUUCGUUGACACCUAUCACAUGAAGAACAGAAAGUGUAAGCGUCUCGAAAUAUAGAUGGCCAAUAGAAACCACAUUGUAAAACUUUAGUCGCUGUUUUCUUAGCACUGAAAUGGCCUCCACAAGCUUGUUCAUGGCAGAAUGAAAGGAUAUUCUGAAUUUCACUUUCUGGGGCACAUCGUCUAACAAUUUGGUCUGCACAAUACUUGAACAAAUACGGGUCAUCCCAAAAGAAAUUCUUUAUCUCUGCAAAGAAUUUUGUCUUGUCUUGCUUGGUCCAAUGCUCAGGAAGUUUACCUGUAACAAGAUAAUUAACUAUAUCAGCAUACCAAGGUAAUACUUCCACACUCAUUAAUUGUUCAUCUGGAAAUGACUCAUUUAAUGGUAAUGGCUCUGUAAUUGUGUCAAAAUGGAGACGAGAGAGGUGGUCCGCCACAACAUUUUCUGUCCCUUUCUUAUCUUUGAAUUCCAAGUCAAAUUCCUACAAAAGUAACACCCAACGAAUUAGUCUAGCUUUUGCAUCUUUCUUUGUGAGAAGAUAUUUAAGAGCAGCAUGAUCCGUGAAUAUAAUUAUUUUACAACCAAUGAGAUAUGAUCGAAAUUUUUCUAAUGCAAACACUACUGCUAGCAUUUAUUUUUCAGUAGUUGAAUAGUUCAACUGUGCAUCAUUCAAUGUCAUACUAGCAUAGUAAAUAACGUGGGGAAUUCGAUCAACUCUUUGUCCUAAUACUGCUCCUACUGCAUAAUCAGAUGCAUCACACAUGAGCUCAAAUGGUAAGCUCCAAUUUGGGGGCUGAAUGAUGGGUGAUGAUGUCAACAAAUGCUUUAAUUUUUCAAACGCAACAAGACAUGAAUCAUCAAAGACAAAAGGUACAUCCUUAACAAGUAGAUUGCAUAAGGGUCUAGAAACUUUGCUAAAAUCUUUAAUAAAACGUCUAUAGAAACCAGCAUGCCCAAGGAAAGAUCUUACUUCUCUGACUGUUUUAGGUGGAGGAAGAUUAGAAAUGAGAUACACCUUGGCUUUGUCAACCUCAAUACCUUUGCUCGAAAUGAUGUGACCGAGAACAAUACCUUGUUUUACCAUAAAAUGGCAUUUCUCCCAAUUUAAGACCAAGUUCUUCUCGAUACAUCUCUGCAAAACUAGUGUUAGAUGAUGUAAACAUUGAUCAAACGAAUCACCAAAGACAGAAAAGUCAUCCAUAAAGACUUCCAGGAAUUGUUCAACCAUAUCAGAAAAAAUGCUCAACAUGCAUCGUUGAAAUGUAGCAGGUGCAUUACAUAAUCCAAAUGGCAUCCUCCUAUAUGCAAAAGUGCCAAAAGGGCAAGUGAAAGUAGUUUUCUCUUGAUCUUUUGGUGCUAUGGGAAUCUGAUUAUAUCCUGAGUAGCCAUCUAGAAAGCAAUAAAAUUCAUGGCCUGCUAAUCUAUCAAGCAUUUGAUCAAUAAAUGGUAAAGGAAAAUGGUCUUUACGUGUGACAAAAUUCAAUUUUCUAUAAUCAAUGCAUACACGCCAUCCUGUAGUUACUCUAGUGGGUAUCAAUUCAUUAGCAGCAUUGGUAACUACUGUGACUCCUGACUUUUUGGGGACGACUUGUACAGGACUGACCCAUGAACUAUCAGAAAUUGGGUAAAUGAUACCUGCAUCUAAUAGCUUAAGGACUUCUGUUCUAACAACUUCUUUCAUAUUAGGAUUUAACCGACGUUGCAUUUCCCUAGUAGAUUUAGCAUAUUCAUCGAGGUGAAUGUAAUGCAUGCAGUCUACUGGAUUUAUACCUUUUAUAUCUGCUAUGGUCCAUCCUAAUGCUCCUUUGUGCUCUUUUAAAACAUCCAACAACUUACCUUUUUGUUCGUCAUUUAGGGAUGAUGAGAUGAUUACCGGCAGAGUACUUUCUUCUCCCAAAAAUGCAUAUUCCAAAGUGUUGGGCAAUGGUUUGAGCUCGAGUUUCGGUGGUGAUUCUGAUGAUGGAAUGAGUUGCUUCUCUGAUGGUGCUAGUUGCUCAACUCUUGACUUCCAUUUAUUAGUGUCCAUAGAUGGUGCUAAGUCAAGCAGGGCGUUGACCUCAUCGACCGAUCUGUCAAUAUCAAAAUCCAAACUAAAGUGAGUUAAACAUGUUUGUAAAGGAUCAUCACUAAGGUUUGAAACAAAAGUAUCAUCAACUAAUGCUUCAAUUAAAUCCACAUCAACAAUUCCAUCAUCUGCACUGUGAGGUUGUUUGGCAAUGUUGAAGAUGUUCAGCUCCAUAGUCAUGUUGCCGAAGGACAACUGCAUAUUUCCGGUCCUGCAUUGAAUGUGAGCAUCCGCAGUUGCCAAGAAAGGUCGGCCUAGAAUAAUGGGGAUGUGCUUCCUCGAGUCCUGUAUUGGUUGAGUGUCAAUUACAAUGAAAUCAACAGGAAAAUAAAACUUGUCUACCUGGAUAAGCAUGUCCUCCACAAUGCCACGAGGUAUUUUCGUGGACCGAUCUGCAAGUUGUAACACCACUGGAGUUGGGUGUAAUUCUCCCAGUCCAAGUUUCACGAAUACAGAGUAAGGCAAAAGAUUUACACUAGCUCCUAAAUCCAACAAAGCAUUCUCAAUUGUGUGGUUCCCUAUACUACAUGAGAUAGUGGGGGAGCCUGGGUUUUUGCAUUUUAAAGGAAUUUUAUGUUGGAGUAUAGAACUAACGUUUUCUGUUAAAAAUGCCUUCUUUUGAACAUGUAUAUUUCUCUUUUUAGUACAAAGGUCUUUAAGAAACUUGGCAUAAGAUGGAACUUGUUUAAUAACAUCAAGUAAAGGGAUGUUAACACUUACCUGUUUGAAGAUUUCAAGAAUCUCACCUGUGGAUUUUCCCUUCUUUCUUUUUGCUAACCUCUGAGGAAAUGGAGCUUUAGGAACAUAUUCUCGUGGGUUGGUUUCUUCUUUUUCCUCCGGUGGUGAGUCCUCAACAUUCACAGGUACAAUUUGAUUUUCUUUUGUCACCAGCAUCUCCACUUUGUUGUCAACUUCUAUUCCUUUUCUCAAGGUCAUGACUGUUUUGACCUCUCCAUGCUGCUGUGGUGAACUAGUACUUGCUUCAUGUACUCCUUUAGGAUUAAGCACUGGUUGACUUGGAAACUUGCCUUUCUCAACAGUCAUUGCCAAGGUCUGAACUGAAGAAGCAAGUUGUCCCACCAUCUUCUCGAGGCUUGAAACUGAUUGGGCUUGUGAAUUGAAGCAUGCUCUCAACUCAUUUCGUAGUCCAUCAAUGGUGCGGUUCUGUUGCUCAAUCGUGGAGUGAGUAACAUUCCUAAAAUUCUGGAAUGCAUCCUCCCAUGGUCUGGGUUGAGAGUGGUUCUGAUUCUGAUUGUAUGGUCUGAAUGGUGGCUGAGAGGCUUGAGGAUUUUGUGGAAUUGGUGGAGCUGGAGCUGCUGGUCCGUUUUGUUGGAAUCCUUGAGACCAUGAAAAAUUGGGGUGGUCUCUCCAUCCAGGGUUAUAUGUGUUGGAGUAUGGGUUAUAAUUCAAUGGUUUUCUCAUUACACCUAUGGCAUUGGCUUGAUCUGAGUAUGAGUCAUGGUCAUGUGGCUCUGUUAAUUUAGCAGUCGAUAACGAUGCUAUUUGUCGAGAGAGACCUUCAAUUAUUGCUUUGACUUCUUUAAUUUCUAAACUUGAUUCGCCAAUGUGAACCUCAUUUACUCCUUUAAUUCUUCUAGUAUUCCUGAGUGAUCGACUCCGUUGUUGGGAAUUAUCCGCUUGUCGCUGGAAGAAUUCCCAAAUCUCUUAUGCACUUUUUGACAUUAGCUCUCCUCCACUUAUUGCCAUUAGCUAUUCUUGCACAUUCGGCAGUAAUCCCUCCAAAAAGUAUUGACAUUGGUGCCAUUUCUCGUACCCAUGAUGUGGACACUUCAAGAGUAGCCCAUUGAAUCGCUCCCAUGUUUCGAAAAAUUGCUCGUCCUCUCUCUGGGUAAACUCCGAGAUUUCCCUGCGAAUAGCAUUGGUUUUAUACACUGGGAAAUAUUUAUUCAAAAAUUUAGUUACCAUUUGUUCCCAUGAUGAAAUGCUAUUGGCAGGCAAUGUAUUAAGCCAUGAACGAGUUCUAUCCUUUAAAGAAAAUGGGAAUAAUCUGAGUUUAACAUCAUCGUCUGAAAAAUUUUCAUAUUUAAAAGUUUGACAAAUGGCAUGAAAAUCAUUCAAAUGAUUAUAUGGGUCCUCAUUUUCUAGGCCAUAAAAUGUGGGGAGACAAUUUAGCACACUAGGUUUUAAUUCAAAGCUCCUAGCAGCUACAUUUAGGUAUCUUAUACAUGAUGUGUUCAAAUUUGCUAAAGGACUGAAAUAAUCCUUAAAUGGCCUCUCCUGUGGUGCUUGUAAAUCCAUUCCAAAUUUAUUUUUAAUGUGCUUUUGUGUGCGAAGUGUUUUUUCUAAUUCAAGGUCUAUAGGUUCAAGAUUAGGAAAUAAUGACCUACGACCAUGCAUGCAAAACAAAUAAAAUAAAAAUAAAGAUGGGAACAAAACAAAUAAAAAUAAAGAAGAGGGCGAAAUUAUGAUACUAACCUUAUUGCGCUAUUACAACCUUUCUAUAAAAAUACACAAAAACAAAUACGUGAAAUAAAUCAACUAAAAAUAAAUUAAUAAGAUAAACAAACAAACAAAAUUACAAAGAAAAAUAAAUUGAAAAUGAAAUUACAGAAUUUUAAAGAAGAGAAAAAGAAAAAAAAAUACUAACCUUUAAAUGUAGAUUCACUUUUUUUUAUUUUUUAUUUUUUAUUUUUUAUAAAAAUAAAAAAAUACAAGAAAACAAAUAAAAGAAAUUAUUCACAAAAAUUAAUUCUAUGAAUUAAAAGUACUUACCUCCCCGGCAAUGGCGCCAAAAACUUGUUGUGCAAAUUUUAAUGUACUCGCAAGCACACGAAUCUAUUGUAGUAUAGAUCAAUGGUGACGAGUGUCGAUCCCACGAGGAGGUGGAUUUUAAUUAUGUGUAUAAUUAAUUUUGUAAAUGAGUGGUUGGAUUUAUGGUGGAAGUGAUUUGGAAUAUGCUAAAACUUAAAUUAAAAUGGCGAGAAUAAAUUCUAAAAUUGGAAUUGCAAUGGAGAUAAUAAAUUGUAGAGAAAAUCUAUUAAAUUGACAUACUUGGGUAUCUGGAUCCGUAUCAACAUGCAUCAUGAGCUAAAUAAUCCGUAUUAAUACCAAUUAAAUCAUAAGGGGGGAAUCCACACCUCAUGAACCACGCUCUAAUCAAUAUGGUGCUAAGGGCUUAUCGUGCCAAAUAAUAAUAACCUUGUACUAGAGGGCCGGUGAAACCAAGGCGGUACUAGACAAGAUUAGUAUUAUUUGUCGACGAGAAGUCAAAACAUCCAAUAAAACUAGAGGGGAAGAGAAAAUAAAUUUACCAAAUAAAGCCCAUGACACAUGUUGAGACUUCACCUUCAACCCAAGCUUGAAAGAAAAUUAGCCACUCAUAAUUGAACUAGGGGCAAAAUGGGAAUUUAUUAAAAUACGAAGAAAAUACAAGAUGGAGAGGGAAUUACAGAAAAUGGAUCCCAAAAAUGGAUUCAGAGAUAUCAAAUUAGGGGGGAGAGGCCCCUUUUUUAUAGAUACAUGGAGUAAAUCAUGGCCAUCGAAUUAAAAACAGUUUGGACGCUCAGGAUUGCGCCACGUCAUCAGUCAACAGUCCACGGUUUGACCACGCGGAUGAACAGUAACACGGUUUGACCCGACUUUGAAUAGUAACGCAGUUUGACCCGGAUGAACAGUAACGCGGUUUGGUUGAAAAUAAUCCUGUGUGAUGCAUGCACCGUACGCGAGAUUUUUCGUCCACUGAUAUGCUGCCACGUCACCAUCAACAGUACAUAAGAAUUUUAGUCCAACAGGAUCGUGACACCUCAUCAGUCAAUGCCACAUCAUCGGUCAAUGCCACGUCAUCAUCCGUCUAUGUGAACAGUGUCGUGAACAGUAACGUAUACAGUACCGUACACGUGAAUAGUACCGUACAUGUGAAUAGUGCCAUUUUUCCUUUUAUGCUCCUCUUAAGGUUUUUGACCAUCCUAAGUUCAAAAGUGAUGUCCGUUUUGCCGUCUGAUUUCUCCUUUAUUGUGAAAUGACUAUAAUGCCCCUAAAAUACAUAAAAUACUUAAUUAAAAUAAAACACAUGUAAUUAAAUCACAAGAAAGUUAAAUACAUAAAAGUAAGGGUUGUUAGUAAGACUUGAAAUGUAAAAUGACGGUUUUCUCCUUUAUAAAUAUGCAUUUUCUAACACUCAACAUUCUAUACAUACAAAGAAUGAUUUAGGUCCACAUUUUACAAAGAAUGACAUAGGUUCAUUCCUUACAAAAAAUUACCUAGGCACUUAAAAGUAUUUCUAAGUAAAAUGCGUAAAAGAUAAGUCUUCGAUAAAGCGCCAAAGGCUUGAUUCUUCAAAGAAUGACCUAGUUCUAUUCUAUACAAAGAAUGACUUACGUCCACAUUUUACAAAGAACAACUUAUAUCUAUUCCUUACAAAGAAUAUUUGGGUAAUUCGAAAAUAUUUCUAAGUAAAACGCUCAAAGAGCGAGUCUUCAAUAAUUUAUCAAAAAGCAUGAUUUUUUUAAGAAUUACCUAGAUCCAUUCUUUACGAAGAAUUGCCUAGUCCCAUGUUUUACAAAGAACAACUUAGGUCCAUUACAAAGAACGACUUAGGCAUUUAAAAAAUAUUUUUAUGUAAAACGCCUAAAGGGCGAGUCUUCAAUAAAGUGUCAAAUGCGUGAUUCUUCAAAAAAAUGACCUAAGUCCAUUCUUCACAAAACAUGACCUAGAUUCACUAAUUAUAAAGAACAACCUAGGUCCAUGCCAAACAAAAAAUAACCUAGGCACUUAAAAGAAUUUCUAAGUAAAACACCCAAGGGGAAAGUCUUUGACAAAGCGCCAAGACGUGAUUCAUCAAAGAAUGACCAAGUUUCAUUAUUCACAAAAAAUGACAUAGGUCCACGUUUUACAAAGAAUGACAUAUGCACUUAGAAAAUGUUUCCAAGUAAAAAGCCUAAACGGUAAGUUUUCGACAAAGCACUGAAGGCAUGAUUCAACAAAGAAAGACCUAAGUCCAUUCUUUACAAUGAAUGACCUAAACAUUUAAAAAAAUAUUUCUAAGUAAGAGCCUAUGGGCAAAUAAACAUUCUAUAAAAUAUGCCUAGUAAGUAUACAUUCUAUAAAAUGUACCUACGGGCAAUAUACAAUACACAUGCUAUAGAAUGAACAUGCAAUCAAAUAUACAUUCUAUGGAAUACACCUAUGAACAAAUACACAUUCUACGAAAUACGCCUAUGAGUAAAUAUAUAUUCUGCAGAAUAAGUCUGUGGGCAAGUACACAUUCUACUGAAUGCAUCUACAAGCAACAUACAUUUUACGAAAUGUGCUUACAGUAAAUAUACAUUCUACGGAAUACACCUCUGGGCAAAUACGUAUUCUACAGAAUUAGCCUACGGGCAAAUAUAUAUUGCACGAAGCUAGGGUGUUAAAAAUACCCGCUUAAUCUGAACCUAGAUCGAACCUGGAUUAUGCGGGCCGGGUAUCACCCUAGCAAUACCUAGCCCGGAGAUGAAGUCAGGCUAGUCCUGACCAUCACUUGAUAAGCCUGCGACCUGGCCCAGAACUCAGAUUUUAUAAAAAAUUAUUAUAAAAUAUAUAUUAUUUUAAAUAGUUAUAUUUAUUUGACCUAUUUAUUACAUAUAUGUAAAAUUUUAAACAUUUAAAGUUCAUAUCUUCAUGCUCAAUUUCAUUGAAUUAAAUUUAAAUAUUACAAAAUUAGAAAAAAAAUACAUAUAUAAUAUUAAAAAAUAUAACCCAAUACAAAAAACCCGAUAAAAAAUUUGGCCCAAUGUUGGCCUUUUUAAGCCUGGUCUAAGCGUCUAAAAAUUACAUUCAGGUCAGAUCUGGGCAUUGCUAUACUUGACAUGGACCCAGAUUUUGCCAGCUCUACUAUGGACAAAUAUGCAUUCUACGAAAUGCGCUAUAGUCAUAUAUGCAUACUAAGGAAUGCACUUACAUGUAAAUAAACAUUCUAUGGAAUGCGCCCAUGGCCAAAACGUUCUAUGUAAUGCGCCUACGGGGGAAUAUAUAAAUCUUAUGAACUACACUUACGGGCAAAAUAUUGCAAAAUCAAUCCUCUAAGCAAAGAACCAAUAUAAGUGCCAAAUUCAAACUCAAGCCCUAUUAAAAGUCAGGCCAAAAAACAUGACAAAUGUCCAAAGAAUACUUGUCAUGAACAAGUAUUGGUGCAUAUGAAUAUUUGUCUCUAUGUAUGAGCUUUGGUUGACACUUAUCAUAACAAAAGUGCCACAAAAUCUCUCCAAUUAACUCUAAGAUGCCUACAUAAAGGCUAGAUCCCAUUUGAAGAUAAGGAAAAAAAGAGGAAUAAAAUGAGUACAAAAACUCUAUCCAUUUCACUUUAAAUUUUUUCUCCUUAAAAAUUGAGUAAAAAAUGAUUUGAGUAUCGAAGGGUUAUCGCCAGCAAGAUGGUCUCCUUUGACAAUUGUUUUAUUUUGCAAAAAAAUUAACCAUAAGAGGAGGCGUGAUUUGAGACACUUGCCUCAAGGAGAAAAUAAGCCACAAAAAUUGAUUUAGAAGAAAGUUCAAAACACAAAUCAAUCAUUGUACAUUGAGCAAAAAUUUGCAUCAAUAGCUAUUAUAAUCAAGUCAUGGAUGCUUUAAUCUAAGAAACAAAACUAAGGAAAAAUGGAAGAAUAUUAAUCAUAAUAAUCGAAGGUUAAUUAAUCAGCACUUUGGCAGUUCUGGCCAUAUUAUCUAAACGAAAUAAUCUUUUGGAAGGAAACUAAGACUCGAUUAUUGCCAUUAUAAUCAAGUCAUAAAGUAUGCUUUAAUGUAGGAAAUAGAACUAGGGAAAAAUGAAAGAAUAUUUCAUUAUAAUCAAAGGUUAGUUAAUCAGCAUUUUGGCAGUUCUAGCCACAUUGUCCAAAUGAAAUAAUGUUCUGGAAGGAAACUAAGACUUGAUUAUUGCUAUUAGUUUGUUUGUAAAUUAAUUGUUGCCGACAAACUAUAUAUCGAGUCAAAAAUUAUUUUCAAGUAUUUUCUUAUCUACACCCUAAUCACCAACGUCUAUGACUCGUGUAGAAAUUUUCUGAUAUAAAAUUGUUAGUGGAUAAGUAGAAAAAGGUAGGGUUUAGAUCUUAUUGCUCAGCUUGGUUUUUCUGAUCUUGAGGUAGAAUCUGAUUCAGCCACUGUGGUUUCGUGGGCUAUUUCAAGUGGAUUCGUACGGUGGGAUUUUGCUUACCUCUUUGGUUGUGUUUGGGGAUUGGCUUCCAGCCCAUCUAUUAUUAUCAGACAUGUUUUUUGAGAAGCUACAUUUGCUGCUGACUUUAUGGCCAACUGGGCUUGUGCUCAUCAGACUUGUCAGCGAUUUUUCAAUCCUGUAGACCUUUUAGCUGGUUUAUCGGGCAUUCUUCAUUUAGAUACUCUUGAAGUUCCAUAUAUUCGGCAUUAAUCACUUUGAUUUGGAUUAGUUUUAUAUUGAUCACUAAAUCAUUUGCUUCUCUUGGGGGGCUUUGGUUUAUAUCCUCCUUCUUAUGUUCAUUGAUUGAUUGAUUUAUUUACAAGUAUGGGUCUGGCCUAACCCCCACCAUCUUGGUGGAUUUUCAUUAUAAAAGAAAAGUAGAAAAGGUAGGCUUUUUUUUUCAAGUUUUUGAAAGGAAUAAACAAUGUUUCAUCAAAACUUAUUAAUUCUAACGUUUUAUCGGGGUUUUAGACAGACUAAAACUAUUAAUUCGUUAGAUAGGAAUUUUGGUAAUUUUUUUUAGGAAAAGAUAAUUAUAAAAUAACAAUAAAAUAAAAAAAUCUAUAAUUUUCAUUGAGUUAGCUAUGUAUAAUUUAGGAAUUUAUUUCCUUUUAAAUAUAAAAUAAUAAACUUAAUAUUGUUGGGCCUUAACCAAACUCCUAAGCGGCCAAGAAGAAGAUUAUGGAAAUGAAAAUUUCUUAUUCCGAUUUUAAAAAAUUAUUUUUUAAUAUAAAUUUUCUCUCUCUUUUUUUUUAAGAAAACAUUAAAAUUGAAGUGAUGAAAUCUUAAUUAACGACCAUUUGAAUUGUUCAUGAUUGACAAAGAAACAGCUAGAAUAUCUGACAUAUACACAAAUCUAAUAAUUUUUUUGCAAUUAUCUCUGUCCUUCGUCUUGGUAUUCUGUUUCUGUUUUAUAACUAAAUUCUCUUUGUUCUUGGCUUGUUGUAGUAGCUCUUUUUUUUAUUUUUUAUUUUAAUUUUUUGAGGAACUUAUCGGAGGCUUUUUCACUGUUCCUUUGCUCAUCUUUUUCAAUGUUCCUAUCGCAGAGCUGUACAAGCGCAAAAUAAUUAUGAAGGGCGAGAACAAAGGGGUAGAGGCAUUGAGAUUGUCAGUGAGGCAAAGGAGAAAGGAAACUGAAUCCAGGGAGCGACAGAACAGCAUGUCAGUGGCGUUCUUCGUGGCUAGCUAUGAAACUACAUCUACCAUUAUGGAAGACAAAUGAAGAGAUAAAAACUUUAGGGAGAGAAACUAAAGAUAAUAAAGUUAUAAUAUUUACCUAUAAUGGUAAUAAUAGUAAUUUAAGUUAAGAAUAUUUGUGUCAUAAUAUUGUCUUUUUAAAAUGGUUUUAAUAAAUAGUUUGGUUAGGGAUGACAAUGGAGCAGAUAUGGGUUGGAUCUACUCUGCUCUAGAUCUAAAUCCAUAAUAAAAAUCAACAUCCAUAUCUGCUCCAGAUCCAUCAUGAAUCCAUAUUUUUCGCUCCAUAUCCAGAUCCAAAAAAGAAAUAAAUAUCUAUAUCUGCUCUAAAUCUGAAAAAAAAAUUAAAAUUAAAAUCUGCUCUAGAUCCGUCAUGAAUUAUAAAAUUCAGUAAUAAAAAAGUAAUAAUUUUUUAGAUUGAAAAUUGAAGGCUAAAAUAUAUUGAUAACAAAUAAAUUAUAUAAAUUUUCUCAAAAAUAUAAUAAAAAUUGUAGCUUAUACUUUUACACCAAAACAACAAAUAAGAAAGAUAAUAAAAUAUCAUUCAUAAGUAAUUGCAAGAGUAAGAUCAAUAUGAUAUUCUAUUGUCUCAUUCAUCAUUAAAAUAUCCACGAUACACCUACCUUCAUUCCUACAAUAUUAGAUAAUGACAUAUAAAUUAAAUAUGAUUUAUAUUCAGUCCUUUAUUAUUUUUAUUAUGACCAUAUUUGACUAAAUAUAUGAAUAACUAUAUUCCUUAAAAAUUAUUUGGCCAAUAUAAUAAAAUAAAUUGUCAGAUUAUAUUACUUGACUUGCAAUUUGAAUAUUGCAUGUACAUGCUUUGGGGCUGGCUGACCUUUAAAUUUACAAAACUAACCUUUAAGUUUUAAGAGUUUAAAUGCAUGGUAAAUACUACUAAUAUGCUAUGAAUAAAAUUUAUUAUCAUUAUAAUUCCAUAAUUGUUAAGAAACUUUUAAAAUAAAAUAAAAUAAAAAGAUGAGUGGAUAUAGAUAUGGAUUUAGAUAUUAAGAUAGAUCCAGAUCUGCUCUAGAUCCGCCUUAGAUCCGCACAUCGAUAUCUAAAUCCGAUCCAAAUCCAUUUUAUAUUGAUCCAAAUCCAAUCCGAUUGGAUUUGGAUCACGUGGAUCUUGGAUCAGAUCCAAUCCAUUGCCAUUCCUAAGUUUGGUGGGUCUAAAUAAUCUCAACCAUAAUAGACUGCACUAGCAAUAAUUAAUUUUUUCGAUCUCUUUCUCUCAACUUCUUUUCUCUUCAUUUUUCUCUCUUCAAGGAAUAUUUUUACUUUGUUAUUAAUUGUGUCCGCUUGAAAUUAUAUUAAUUCUUAAGUGCGCGUUUGACAUACUGUAUUGUAUUAUACUACAUUAAAAUAUUUUAAUGUAGAUGUAUUGUAUUGUGUUGUAUUGUGUUAUAUUACAUUAGCAUUGUAUUGUAAUACUGCUAUACUGUAUUAAUUUUUAGUUAUACUAUGUUUGGUGCUGCGUUAUACUGUAUUAAUUUCUUUGGCGAUUAAUUUAAAUUAUAUAUUUAGAAAAUAUGUAAUUUAUUAGUACUUGUAAAAAUGUAAAAUAUAGAAGUCUAAAAUAUUUGAAUUUUUACUUCAAUUUUUUUUUUGUUUAAAUGAAAAAAUUCAUAAUUCUUCAUAAACUAUAUGUAAAACUAACAAAUUUUAAAAUUUUCGACAGCAUAAUACUUAUUUUUUCAACAAGUACCAAAAAUAUAACCUAGAAAAUAAAGAUUGAAGCAAAUAAUUUAGUCAAAUAACCUCUAAAAACUAUCACAAUAUAAAUAAAUAGUUACAAGAUUUGUUCAAAGUUUAUACAUACUACAAAAAAGUCGCAAAAUAUUAAAGUGAUUCAAUAGUUGUAAUAUAAUCACCUAUAAAGUGGAUUGUGUUAAAUAAUCUAAGUACACACAUCCACAAGUCAAAAUACUAAUGCAAAGUAUCAUUGUGUAGCUCGAAAUGCAUACUCUCUAAUCAAACUCCACCUCUCCUCUCAUGCUUAUGCAAAAGCAUCCUAACAUAUGCCAACCUAAGGCCAUGAUUAUUUCAUAAUACCUUGAAAGCCCUUAUAUAUGAAGGUUUCUCGAUUCCACUAAAUUUAACGCAAUAAGUUAAAAAUGCCUUUAGAUGUUUGUUUGCAUUUUUAAAUAAUUUUUUUUCUGUUUACAAUGUGAAUUUUUGCUUAAACAUUAAGUGUAGGUUUUAAUUUAUUUUUUUAUCCAGUAAUAUAAUUUUAAAUUUGUUUAAUGUUGUGAAAUAUCUAACGUCGUUUUAAAAGGUUUUUGGAGGAUACCAAUAGUACAAAAAAAAAGUCUCAUAUUAAUUACAUAUGCAACGCCAAUAACUCUCUAUACAUAUACCAUUCAAUAUCAAUUACCUAAUCUAAUUUCAAAGUCAUAAAUUAAAACUACACAUUUAAACUAGGGUUAGAAAAAAUCCGACCCAACCCAAGCCUACAGAUUUUAAACCCGGCCCGCAGAAUAAAAACAUAGAUAAGGGCUCAGGAAAUGUAAAACCCAUAUAUAUUGGGCUUGGUUAAAGGCGUUUAAGAAAAAGCCCGCCAGCUUUAUUAUAUAAACAAAAUCAAAUUUAAAAAAAAAAAUGCAAAACAGCCGACCCCAAAAAUUUCCUAAUACCUGACGCUGUCACAGGAGUCACACCCACCGUCCCAAAACCAAGUGAAGCAAGAACCAGCAACUGCAUCUUCAUCAUCACACCAGCCCAACAAUUUCAGCCACCGCCGACCACCAUGAUGCAGCCAUUAAGCGACGCAGCUACUCGAACCAAACACCAGCAGCGCGACGCAGUAGCAGCCAUUAAAGACAAUCAUUUAGUUUUCAAUCUUCCAUAUGUAAUAUGCAACAGAGAAUAGCCGCUUGAAUGUCGUUGAACUUGUAGAAUCUGCCGCCAUUAAUUCAUCAACAGGUAAGAUGCACUUCUCAUGGUAUUGUCAGUUUUUUGGGUUUUUUUAUUUGAUCAUGUAAAGGCAAACUAAACAAAUUGGGUUAGUUUAAUUUGGUGAAAUUCGAUUUGGGUUAAGUGUAGGGAUGGCAAUGGGGCAGAUAUGGAUUGGAUCUACUCUGCUCCAGAUUCAAAUCCAUAAUAAAAAUUAAGAUCCGUAUCUGCUCUAAAUCCGUCAUAAAUUUAUAUUUUUUGCUACAUAUCUAGAUCCAAAAAAGAAAUAAAUAUCUAUAUAUGCUCCAAAUUCGAAAAAAAAAUUAAAAUCCAAAUCUGCUCUCGAUCCGUCAUGAAUUCUAAAAUUUAGUAAUAAAAAAGUAAUAUUUUUUUAGAUUGAAAAUUGAAGGCUAAAAUGUAUUGAUAACAAAUAAAUUAUAUAAUUUUUCUCAAAAAUAUAAUAAAUAUUGUAGCUUAUACUUUUACACCAAAACAACAAAUAAGAAAAAUAAUAAAAUAUCAUUCAUAAGUAAUUGCAGGAGUAAAAUCAAUAUGAUAUUCUAUUGUCUCAUUCAUCAUUAAAAUAUCUACGAUACACCUACCCUCAUUCCUACAACAUUAGAUAAUGACAUAUAAAUUAAAUAUGAUUUAUAUUCAGUCCUUUAUUAUUUUUAUUAUGACCAUAUUUGACUAAAUAUAUGAAUAACUAUAUUCCUUAAAAAUUAUUUGGCCAAUAUAAUAAAAUAAAUUGCCAGGUUAUAUUACUUGACUUGCAAUUUGAAUAUUGCAUGUACAUGAUUUGGGGCUGGCUGACCUUUAAAUUUACAAAACUAAACUUUAAGUUUUAAGAGUUUAAAUGCAUGGAAAAUACUACUAAUAUGCUAUGAAUAAAAUUUAUUAUCAUUAUAAUUCCACAAUUGUUAAGAAACUUUUAAAAUAAAAUAAAAUAAAAAGAUGAGUGGAUAUGGAUAUAGAUUUAUAUAUUAAGAUAGAUCCAGAUCUGCUCCAAAUCCGUCUUAGAUCCGCAUAUCGAUAUCCAAAUCAUAUCCAAAUUCAUUUUAAACUGAUCCAAAUCCGAUCCGAUUAGAUUUGGAUCACGUAGAUCCUUGAUCAGAUCCAAUCCAUUGCCACAUUUUAAGCUUUAUUUAAAAAUAAAAAUAAAAUUUAUGGAAGCUAAGUCCGGCCCGGGCCUGUUUAAGUCCGAUCUAAGUUUGGCCUGUUUAAAUUUAGACAGACUUUGAAGGACUUGAACCUAAUGACAAUGACAUGGACUUGAGCUUGAACUUCAAAAAACCCGACUCAAGCCCGCAAUUUGUCAACUCUAAUUUGGACAACUACUAACGACCUGUAAUCAAGUCAUUAAAACCUUAUGGGGACUCAUAAACACUCACAAACACAUUGGAAAAGCGCAUAUGAAUGUAGGAUGUAUCCACAGUGAAGCUACCAUGCUCAUCUUGCGUGUCCACAUUGUUGUGGCUGAUUCUUGUGGGUAAUGUUGUUGUCUCCUUAUUAGGUAGCUAGAAAGACAGGCUUCUGUUUGACCCCAUACUGGUUGGUGAUAAGGGAUAGGUUGCCGCAACCCUUAGGCACGAUUUAUAAGCCUUGCAGAUAUAGCCUAUUAAGUUCUCGUAUUCCUGCAGCAAGACAAAUAAUUCAUCUCUUAAAGAUCCCCAAGUUCAAAUAUCAAAAUAUUUGAUAUAAUAAUCUUCUACUUCAAAGUUCAAAAAUCGUACAUUUUUAUUGAGCAAAUUUUAUUUCGAUUUCCAGGAACGUGGGGGACAAUAUGUAAAUCAGGAACAUACCUCAUACUGUGGCUGUCCAUCCACAAUAACCCAAGGCACAUACUGAUGAAGAGGCACAAGAGAAUUUGUUUCAGCUGCAUAUUUUAAUUAAAGCUGCAAGUAAUACAAAAUUCAAUCGCAAAUUAAUCAAUCAUAUAUACCAAUUUCACAUUCCAUGGACAAUUUCACAGGCAGUGGACUUUAUCUCUUUUGUUUCUUUUCCUCCAUAUUCACUGACUCUGCAGUCCACUGGCAAGAAACAAUUUUCUUUAGUAGGCGUUACAGGAAAAGCAGAUAUCUAAGAGAAAGGUGACGAAUAUUUUAGCUGAUUGCAAACUCAAAUGCACUUUGUUGAUAUUUAAAUACAGUGGCAUCCAGGUUGAUAGGCAAUCUAAAAUACAACUCCAGUAAUAUUCCUCAAUGUUCAUGUACCCAAACGCUUAUUAACUCUUUUCUUCCAGGGCUUAAAUACUUCCCAAGAAUCUCAUAUAAUAAUCUAGCAGCUAAAUACAGUUCCUUUUCUCUCAUCCUCAAUCACAGGGAAAAAAAAAUUUGAAUUUUUUCUAGUAACUCGAGAGAAGGAAAAAAAAAAAAAAAAGGAACAAGUAGUUUUUGUUGAAAAACAAUUCCGUUAAAAUAAAUAGCAGAAUUAUUAGAAUUUAGGAUGAAAAGCUUGCCAUUAUAAAUCCAUUAAAGGACAAAAUCAAACCAGAUCGCGUGGUGGUGUGUCGCACGGUGGAGUGAUGUCGGUGUCACGUGGCGAAGGCAGAUCGCGUCAUGGUGGAGUUGGUGCCGCUCGGCAAAGGCAGAUCGCGUCGUGGUGGAGCUGCUAUCACCUGGCAGUGGCGGUGUGGAGUUGGUAUUGGGUUGAAGCACCCGAGGGGCUGUGAGGAGUAGCAGUGUGGAGACGGGCAGGGAGAAGAAGAAAACGAAACCGAAAUUUUUGUUUCCUCUCAAAUCAAUCAUAAGAGGGGGAGAGACGAUUAUUAGUUAAUAUUUAUUCUCAUUUGAACAUCCACAAUUAAAAACCAAGUAUGAAUCUUUGAGGAAGAGAGAAGAAGGAGACGGAAAAAAUUUAUUAUCACUAGUGCGAUCUAUUGUUUUAUUGAUUAGCUUUAAAAAGAGAGUAAAAGAAAAACAUAAUGUCCUUUUAAUCCUGACCAUUAGAUAUUAGAUGUAACGUUGACAUAGCUGAAGCUGAGGCUAGAUGUGUUAAUUUAAGAUUUGAUAAAGCUGGAUUGUCUCCUGUGCAGCUUAAAUCUGAUUCAUCGAACUGGUUUUGGGGAAAUCUUGCAAGCGCAAAGAAUUAUUUCUGGCUAUCUCUAUAUUAAUAAAUUCAAUAGCUUCUUUGCCUCCAUGGCUGCUUUCCAGUGCCAGCCCCAGCAUAGUUUUAAAAGGUGUAAUCAUUUAGCUAAUGCACCAGCAGAGCAUGAUUAUAGUCUUGCUGGUCUUACUUGUUAAGAUAAUUGAAUUGAUUAGUCGAGUUUAGUUUUGGUUAAGCAAAAUUGCUAGUCUUAGUUUAAGUUUGUUACUGAUGCUGACAUGGCAGCUGAGUUAGCUGAAUCUGUUAUUCCGUUAGUUCAAACAAACACGUUGUAUGCAUGCAGUGUGUAGAAUAUUUGAUACAGCCUUGUACAUAAAUACUUGUAAAAUCAGUGUGUGAGAUCCAAUACAACAUCUUCUCUAUGUUUUCCCUGUAGCCAAACAAAUCUCCUCUUUACUUUCCGAAAGGAAGAAAUUCCAUUCCAGUUCGCUUGAAAUUUUUGUGAGACUUUAUGGUUAAUGAAUUUUUCAUUAAAAAAAAAAAAACUAUUGUCAAAAUUGAAAAUUUCAUGAAAUAAGCAUGCUUCCACAAACACUUUUUUUUUUUUUUCAAAUUUGAUGAAAUAAGAUGUUUACGACAUUUAAAACUCAAAACUCAAUUGGGACCUUACGAGAUGGAGUAGAUUCUACGGGUGGAGACAACAGAAUUACCCGUCCAAUAGGAAAUGCUUAUAAACCAGAUGGCCAAUAUAAUCAUGCAGCAAAUUUUAUAAUUUUAGUUUAUAUUUUUGGGAGGCCACAAAGGGAAUUGUGGGUAAAUUAAAAAAAUGUAAUCUUUCAUAUGAAAGAGAUUGCAUCUUUUUAUAAAACCAACGAAUAGAGUUUAUCAUAGAAAAAGAUUUAAGAAGUUAAGAACAUAUAUCAAUCUAUUAAUCAACAAAUUAACACACAAUAAUUUUAUUUAUUUACUUUUUAUGUUUUAGAAAGAGACAGUACAUAUUGAAACUUAGAAAGAGACAGUACAUAUUGAAACUAACACACACAUCCAGAUUCUUAUUUUAUUACACAUAAAAAAGAUUAAUACUUCGUACACUUAACCAGUAUAAUCAAGAUUUCUUCCAUAGUGAGGAAUAACAAGAAAAUCGAGAUUAUCGUUCACACUCUCCCCAUC
This 20760-nucleotide long non-coding RNA is filed under the name Citrus x clementina. Its description in RNAcentral is "Citrus clementina (C. clementina) long non-coding RNA (CCLE_LNC002293)". The stretch from base 7087 to 7190 matches the Rfam family "Plant small nucleolar RNA R71". The record is from RNAcentral. Lineage: Eukaryota; Viridiplantae; Streptophyta; Magnoliopsida; Sapindales; Rutaceae.